UAAGGCCUUUAAGUGGGUAAACAGAGC
Molecule: non-coding RNA, 27 nt
Filed under: Mus musculus (house mouse)
Lineage: Eukaryota; Metazoa; Chordata; Mammalia; Rodentia; Muridae
Source: RNAcentral